Molecule: small RNA, 369 nt
Filed under: Gemmatimonadota bacterium
Lineage: Bacteria; Pseudomonadati; Gemmatimonadota
Description: transfer-messenger RNA
Rfam family: transfer-messenger RNA
About the family: Bacterial tmRNA, also known as 10Sa RNA or SsrA, is named for its dual tRNA and mRNA-like properties. Its role is to liberate the mRNA from a stalled ribosome. To accomplish this part of the tmRNA is used as a reading frame that ends in a translation stop signal.
Source: RNAcentral
GGGGGUGUCAUGGUUUCGACGGGUAUGGUGAAGAUCUGAGUGCAUGCCGAGGUUUCAGACACCUCGUAAAACCUCUGAAAAACUUAGUAAAAGCGAACGAUAACUUCGCCUUGGCGGCCUAAGGAACCUGGUUCCUUGCAGGCCCCCACUUGUUGAUCAGACCUGCCUGAGCCGGGUCAACGAGUGUCGCAAAUCCAGGCUGGCUCAUUCGAGCGUCGUGGUAGAAUGGGCGAGAAUUGCACGACUGGUUCGAGAUGGGCCUUCUGCUGGCCGAUGAUCGAGCGAGGAGAAAAGAACAGCGGAAUAAGCAUGUAGAGCUUGGAUGGGAUCUGUAUUCGGACGCGGGUUCGACUCCCGCCACCUCCACUU